AAGAAAAGAAAAAGAAAAGGAAAAGAAAAAAAGAAAGUUGGGGCCUUUAUGAGUGUUAAGAAAAAUGAAAAAUACCUACGUACAACUGCAAUAUGAAACCCAAGGUUAGUAUUAAAUAUAUUUUGCUCAGGGUUGCACACUGAACUAAUUGCUAUUGUGGAUAAAUAUCAGAGUUUCUGGUUUUUUCAUUACAAGGUGAAAUUACAAGAUGAGGACACAGUCCACCCUGAACAAUCAUAAACUAUAAACGGAAAAAUCAAACAGGCAUUUCCAAACAGAGCCAAGUAUACAGAUAAAAUAAGAGAUCAUACUAAACAAAAACAACCACAACAACAAAACUGGCUGGAGUUUCAGGGAUGCUGAGUUGGGAACGACUUCCAUCCAUUCUAUAUGAUUGGUAAGACAAGGGAAGCUCACCCUUAGAACGCAGCCACCACGUGGUGAGGAAUCCCAGGCUACCUAGUGAGUCUUCAUGUAGAUACUCCAGCUGAGACUAGCCAACGUCCUAGCCAAAGGCCAGCCUCAACAGCCAAACACGUGCGUGAACAAGCCUUUAGAUGAUUCUAGUCUCCAGCUUCCAGUUAUGCCAGCUGAUGCCAAAUGAAGAAGAAAUGAGUUGCCCUACUCUGCUUUGCCUAAACUAAAGAUUGGUGAACAAGAGAAAUGCUGUUUUGAACUAGUAGGUUUUGAGGUGGCUUAUUACGCAGCAGUAAAUUACUACCACAGAUACUGAUACUAAAAAUGGUGUGCUGCUAUUCAAAAAAACCUGAAACUAAACUUCCUUUGAACCAGGAGGUAGGUCGAACCUGGAAAGAUGUAGAAAAGUGUAAGAAUGAGACCCAAAAAGGGCCUCCACAAGACUCUUAGUGGAAACCUGAUGGCCUGUGAAGAGGCUGACAGCAAGGGUUUCUAAGCAAGUGAAGAAAAUGACACUGGACGAAAGGGAAGUCAUGCUACAAAAUACCUGAAAGUAAAACGGAUAGGAAAGAGAAACUAAAGAAAGACUAUGCAACUGAAAGGAACCAGGACUUACUGGGUUCAAGUAUCUGUUUCUCAUUUACAGCCUCUCUACAUGUUGAACUGUCAAAUAAUGCUAAAAUAAAGAAAUGGCUUUUGGGUUCAGAGAAACUCCAGGGUGCUACCAGGAAAACAGAAAGAUUUAAGGUAUGCCUCCAAUUUCUUUAAGGAUCUUAAGACUAUAAGAUUUUUUUUAAAGUGGGUUCCACACCCGACAUGGGGCUUAAACUCAGCACCCAGAGAUCAAGUGUCACAUGCUCUACCAACUGAGCCAGCCAGGAGCCCCAAAAGUAGACGAAUUUUAAAGGCGUUGUCCUGUAAGAGCUUCACAGGAAACCUGAAGCGAAAAGCUUAUCUCAAAAGGACUUGGGAGGGUCGCUUUGCUAAAACACGGCAUGAAAUCCAGUAAUAUUUACAGAAAACUAAAAAAGGUAAGAGAUAUAUAGUAGCAAACAUACUAUUUGCUACCUUGGACUAAAAGGGGCCAAAUAGUGCAAAAUGAAAAGAGGCCUUUGGGUCUUAGAAGUCCCACAGGGAGGAAGCAGGAUGAAAAAACAGCUGCAAAUACAGGUCAUUCCUUAUGAAAAGGAAGGAACUAAGAGCUCAAGGAGUAAAGAAAGGGAAAAGACAUGGAGAAAGUAUUCUCGUGGUUAGGACUAAGUCCUAACUUAAGAACUGACAGCAUGCAUCAGGCUAUAUUUCAAAACUCUUAUGGACUAGGGUGCUUCCCAUCUUCUUUUUCUGAAUGGGUGAGUCCUCAGCAGUUGACUAGAAUGUUGCAUUUGUGAGUGGUAAAUAACUGUCUCUUUCAUUCUCAAGUCCUCAUAUUGAGAACACUUGCACUCAAGGGGCUAUACUUGAGAUACCAUAACCCAGGCAGCUUAUCCCCACUGCACCUGAUUAAGAUGGUAAGAUCUUGGACUCAAGCCCUGAACCUGAUGCCAUGAUAACUGCGACUUGCAGGAGGUAUUGGAGGGAGAGGGGAGUGAAUGUAUUUUUCAGGUGGGAGGAAUACAAACAUUUGUGGCUAGUGGGUAAAGUAUACUGCUUUUUAAAGGUGUCCAUAGGUUUUAAUAUUAAUUCCACUAAAAAAAGACCAUGGAACAACCUUAGUGACUUGCUCCUAAUGAACAGAAUAUGUGACUAUGAUCCUGUGUGUAUUCCAAGUCUAGGUGACAAAAGGCGAUUCUGCUUUGCUCUGUAUCUCAGGCUGCUAACUUGGAAUCUAGCUCCCCAUCUAGUGAGGAAGCCUAGGCCACAAAGAGGGUCUAGGUGUGUCAGUUUAAGUGUUUCUGCUACCUCCUGAACUGAAGUCCCAGGCAACAGCCAGCAUCAACCACCAGACGUCAGUGAACAAAUCUUCAAAUGGAUCCAACCCCAAACCUUUCAGUUGCCCCACCUGAAGCUGAGCAGGGCAGAGACUAGCUGUCCUGGCCACACUUUUCCUAACAGAUAUGUGAACAAAAGAAAUCUAACCUUUGGGGAGUUUGUUAAGAAAAAAACAAAAA
Molecule: long non-coding RNA, 2525 nt
Organism: Lynx canadensis (Canada lynx)
Lineage: Eukaryota; Metazoa; Chordata; Mammalia; Carnivora; Felidae
Exons: 3
Source: RefSeq, a predicted model, not a curated record